GACGAACGCUGGCGGUAUGCUUAACACAUGCAAGUCGAACGAGAAGAUUAUGAUUAAGCCUUCGGGCGAGAGAUUAAUUGGAAAGUGGCGAACGGGUGAGUAACGCGUGGGUAACCUGCCCUAUGGAAAGGAAUAGCCUCGGGAAACUGGGAGUAAUGCCUUAUGACAUAGAGAAGUCGCAUGGCUUUUCUAUCAAACGCUCCGGUGCCAUAGGAUGGACCCGCGUCCCAUUAGCUAGUUGGUGAGGUAACGGCUCACCAAGGCGACGAUGGGUAACCGGUCUGAGAGGGCGAACGGUCACACUGGAACUGAGACACGGUCCAG
Molecule: ribosomal RNA, 324 nt
Filed under: uncultured Acetobacterium sp.
Lineage: Bacteria; Bacillati; Bacillota; Clostridia; Eubacteriales; Eubacteriaceae
Description: bacterial SSU rRNA
Rfam family: Bacterial small subunit ribosomal RNA
Source: RNAcentral